This 73-nucleotide transfer RNA is filed under the name Absidia repens. It matches the Rfam family "tRNA". Rfam says of the family: Transfer RNA (tRNA) molecules are approximately 80 nucleotides in length. The record is from Rfam by way of RNAcentral. Lineage: Eukaryota; Fungi; Mucoromycota; Mucoromycetes; Mucorales; Cunninghamellaceae.
GGCCUCGUAGCGAAAUGGAUAUCGCGUCAGACUUCGGAUCUGAAGGUUGUGGGUUCGAGUCCCAUCGAGGUCG